GACGAACGCUGGCGGCGUGCUUAACACAUGCAAGUCGAGCGGUAAGGCCCUUUCGGGGGUACACGAGCGGCGAACGGGUGAGUAACACGUGGGUGACCUGCCCUCAGCUCUGGGAUAAGCCUGGGAAACCGGGUCUAAUACUGGAUAUGACUCCAUGACGCAUGUUGUGGGGUGGAAAGCCUUGUGCGGCUGAGGAUGGGCCCGCGGCCUAUCAGCUUGUUGGUGGGGNGAUGGCCUACCAAGGCGACGACGGGUAGCCGGCCUGAGAGGGCGACCGGCCACACUGGGACUGAGACACGGCCCAGACUCCUACGGGAGGCAGCAGUGGGGAAUCUUGCGCAAUGGGCGAAAGCCUGACGCAGCGACGCCGCGUGAGGGAUG
This 381-nucleotide ribosomal RNA is filed under the name uncultured bacterium. Its description in RNAcentral is "bacterial SSU rRNA". It matches the Rfam family "Bacterial small subunit ribosomal RNA", at positions 28 to 410 of the family's 1533-position model. The record is from RNAcentral.